UGCGUAGGUGGUUGUUUAAGUCUGUUGUGAAAGCCCUGGGCUCAACCUGGGAAUUGCAAUGGAAACUGGGCGACUAGAGUGUGAUAGAGGAUAGUGGAAUUUCCGGUGUAGCAGUGAAAUGCGUAGAGAUCGGAAGGAACAUCUGUGGCGAAGGCGACUAUCUGGGUCAACACUGACACUGAGGCACGAAAGCGUGGGGAGCAAACAGGAUUAGAUACCCCCGUA
This 225-nucleotide ribosomal RNA is filed under the name uncultured Pseudoxanthomonas sp. RNAcentral's name for it is "partial 16S ribosomal RNA". It matches the Rfam family "Bacterial small subunit ribosomal RNA", at positions 568 to 792 of the family's 1533-position model. Lineage: Bacteria; Pseudomonadati; Pseudomonadota; Gammaproteobacteria; Lysobacterales; Lysobacteraceae. The record is from RNAcentral.